This is a small nucleolar RNA of Leptomonas pyrrhocoris, 67 nucleotides long. The record is from RefSeq and is a predicted model, not a curated record. Lineage: Eukaryota; Euglenozoa; Kinetoplastea; Trypanosomatida; Trypanosomatidae.
AAGCGGCUUUAGCCUUGGCGCGGCUUUCACACCCUUGUGCCGUGUGCCAUCUUGGUGCGCCUCGAGA